Molecule: ribosomal RNA, 613 nt
Filed under: uncultured bacterium
Lineage: Bacteria
Description: bacterial SSU rRNA
Rfam family: Bacterial small subunit ribosomal RNA
Source: RNAcentral
AUUAGCUAGUUGGUAAGGUAACGGCCCACCAAGGCAGCGAUCAGUAGCCGGCCUGAGAGGGUGAACGGCCACAUUGGGACUGAGACACGGCCCAAACUCCUACGGGAGGCAGCAGUGGGGAAUAUUGCACAAUGGGGGAAACCCUGAUGCAGCGACGCCGCGUGAGUGAAGAAGUAUUUCGGUACGUAAAGCUCUAUCAGCAGGGAAGAAAAUGACGGUACCUGACUAAGAAGCCCCGGCUAACUACGUGCCAGCAGCCGCGGUAAUACGUAGGGGGCAAGCGUUAUCCGGAUUUACUGGGUGUAAAGGGAGCGUAGACGGCAGCGCAAGUCUGGAGUGAAAUGCCGGGGCCCAACCCCGGAACUGCUUUGGAAACUGUGCAGCUUGAGUGCGGGAGAGGUAAGUGGAAUUCCUAGUGUAGCGGUGAAAUGCGUAGAUAUUAGGAGGAACACCAGUGGCGAAGGCGGCUUACUGGACCGUAACUGACGUUGAGGCUCGAAAGCGUGGGGAGCAAACAGGAUUAGAUACCCUGGUAGUCCACGCCGUAAACGAUGAUUACUAGGUGUCGGGGGACCAAGGUCCUCCGGUGCCGGCGCAAACGCAUUAAGUAAUC